This is a long non-coding RNA of Bicyclus anynana (squinting bush brown), 1723 nucleotides long. RefSeq lists it as uncharacterized. NCBI's taxonomy places the organism in Eukaryota, Metazoa, Arthropoda, Insecta, Lepidoptera, Nymphalidae. The record is from RefSeq and is a predicted model, not a curated record. The transcript has 2 exons.
CCUGCGCUGGAAAUAUGUACGGAGUUUACGGGUAAAGUAUCUGUAUAUGUGUACAAAAGGAAUUACACAAAUGCCGUACAGUAAUAAAUGACCUAUAUUGCGUCUGCAACUAUAGACUAAUUAAAAAAAAAAAAUUGGUUGCCUGUAAAGUCGGUAUACGGGCGAAAGUUUUACGUGACAACGACUUUGAGUGGUAAAAUAAUUUUAAUGUGAAUAUUCAUUCGUAUAGUAGGAAGAAGGAUGAAAUAAUAGUAACAAUUUAAAACAUUUAUUUAUACAAAGAAUUAUAUUUAAAACAUUAAUUUAUACAAAGAAUCUCGCACUGAAUUUCAUAUUAACAAAAUUUUAUUCACUCGCUCUCAUUGUGAGCGCAUAACGUGAGCGGAGCGUAACGCAGUUUCUUGAAGUGUCACCCGGCAAACCAAUUUAUAAGACGUUGUCACGUCAAAAUUUGUACCGACUUCCGGAACCACUUCUUUAGUACGGCGCUAGGUUUUUCGACAUUUAUUUUUAAUCAUCUAGUCUAUCAUUAGUCGUAAUUCAUCAUUUGUACCUUAGAAAUUUCAUUCACUCGCGUGCUCACCUGUACUGGGGCCUAAUUGUCUAACGGAGUUCAUUGAUCGUAAAGUUCAUACGAUCGGCUACGAUCAACGAUCAAUCGUAACUUUACAUUGGUAUUGUCUAAUUUAGUUCAUUAUAUGAAGACCGGAUGGUGAACGAUGAACUGAAAUCAUUCAUGAAGAUUGCGUAUUGUUUAUGCAAAACGAUAGUGAAACUAUCGUUAAUAAUAUUAUCAAAUUUAAGUCAAACUCCAUAAUAAUGCAUAUAUUUUAACAAAGUUUUAUGUCUUUUGUUUAAAACAUUAAAGAAGCAUUAAAUUUCACGAAAAAUAUCUACUAUUGAAGAAAAUAGCGUGAGAAAAUGGUACAUGCAACUCAAGUAACAAAACGCAAUUAACGAAUUUAACCAAGGGCUAUUUGGACUAUUUGGUAAUCUCCCUGUUGUCUGUGUAGGCUAGUGUCAAAAUAACGGGGUAUCCUAUUAGUCUGUGGUGAAACAUAGCAUAUUAAUAACCUGUGGAUUGGAAAUUUUAAUUUAACAAAACAAAACAAAAUUUUUAUUUUUCAGGUUUUACAGAGAAUUUAGAAAUUGAGCAAAGUUUUACUAAAUUAUAGUGAUCUUAGGAGCAAAGUUUACUUCGUUUGUGUUAUUGUUAAUCAAAAAUAUAAAAGUAAACAAAAAAGAAAACUACCUCUAUCUAAUUUUAUCGAUGUCCAUUUCUUAAGAAGUUUCUCAUUAAAACAACGCUUAACUCAGGCAAGACAGGGCUAAGGUGAUUAGCGUAACUACAAGUGGUUAACUUACAGUUAGCCAACUGAAGAACAAUCAACAAUGCCCGAUUAAUAAAUGAUCGCGCUGCUUGUCUACUACAUGUCCCUGCACUAGUUAUAGCAGUAAUUUCUUUGUUGGGAAGUAUUUAGCACAUCCGGGCUGCGCAAAAGGAGAGGACUAAAUUGAUUAUUAUGAACAGACCAAUAUGAUGAACCACUGAUAUUGACUCAGAGACAUGAAGAUCAGUGCUUUGACAACAAGACUGACUAGCUGAGCCAGCUUAAGAAUUAUGUGGUGUGUGUGUGUGUCUAAUUCCAGGAGCUCUCUAUGUCAGCCAUCCAUCUAUAUUCUUACUCAUUUUUGUUAAUUAUAAAAUAAAUUUGAUUAUUUA